UACGUAGGGUGCAAGCGUUGUCCGGAAUUAUUGGGCGUAAAGAGCUCGUAGGCGGUCUGUUGCGUCGGGUGUGAAAACUGGAGGCUUAACCUCCAGACGUCGGUGGAAACCGUAUGACUAGAGUCCGGAAGAGGAGAGUGGAAUUCCUGGUGUAGCGGUGAAAUGCGCAGAUAUCAGGAAGAACACCCGUGGCGAAGGCGGCUCUCUGGGACGGUACUGACGCUGAGACGCGAAAGCGUGGGGAGCGAACAGG
RNAcentral lists this ribosomal RNA (253 nucleotides) under uncultured bacterium. Its description in RNAcentral is "partial 16S ribosomal RNA". It matches the Rfam family "Bacterial small subunit ribosomal RNA", at positions 524 to 776 of the family's 1533-position model. The record is from RNAcentral.